RNAcentral lists this ribosomal RNA (253 nucleotides) under uncultured bacterium. RNAcentral's name for it is "partial 16S ribosomal RNA". It matches the Rfam family "Bacterial small subunit ribosomal RNA", at positions 524 to 776 of the family's 1533-position model. The record is from RNAcentral.
UACAGAGGGUGCGAGCGUUAAUCGGAAUUACUGGGCGUAAAGCGCGCGUAGGCGGCUUUUCAAGUCGAUUGUGAAAUCCCCGGGCUUAACCUGGGAACUGCAGUCGAGACUGUCUAGCUAGAGUAUGGGAGAGGGAAGUGGAAUUUCAGGUGUAGCGGUGAAAUGCGUAGAUAUCUGAAGGAACAUCAGUGGCGAAAGCGACUUCCUGGACCAAUACUGACGCUGAGGCGCGAAAGCCAGGGGAGCAAACGGG